Molecule: ribosomal RNA, 75 nt
Filed under: Symbiodinium sp. Three0501-4
Lineage: Eukaryota; Dinophyceae; Suessiales; Symbiodiniaceae
Description: partial 28S ribosomal RNA
Source: RNAcentral
CAGGUGCAUGCCUCUAGCAUGACAUGAAGUCAGACAAGUGAACCCGCUGAAUUUAAGCAUAUCAAUAAGCGGAGG